AACGAACGCUGGCGGCAGGCUUAACACAUGCAAGUCGAACGCUCGUAGCAAUACGGGAGUGGCGGACGGGUGAGUAACGCGUGGGAACGUGCCCUGAGGUACGGAAUAACCGAGGGAAACUUCAGCUAAUACCGUAUGAGCCCCGAGAGGGGGAAAGAUUUAUCGCCUUGGGAGCGGCCCGCGUCGGAUUAGCUAGUUGGUGGGGUAACGGCCUACCAAGGCUUCGAUCCGUAGCUGGUCUGAGAGGACGAUCAGCCACACUGGGACUGAGACACGGCCCAGACUCCUACGGGAGGCAGCAGUGGGGAAUCUUGCGCAAUGGGGGCAACCCUGACGCAGCCAUGCCGCGUGAACGAUGAAGGCCUUAGGGUUGUAAAGUUCUUUCACCCGUGACGAUGAUGACGGUAACGGGGAAUAAGCUCCGGCUAAACUUCGUGCCAGCAGCCGCG
This 449-nucleotide ribosomal RNA is filed under the name uncultured bacterium. RNAcentral's name for it is "bacterial SSU rRNA". It matches the Rfam family "Bacterial small subunit ribosomal RNA", at positions 29 to 519 of the family's 1533-position model. The record is from RNAcentral.